GUACUCGCUUUGGCAGCACAUAUAUUAAAAUUGGAACGAUACAGAGGAGAUUAGCAUGGCCCCUGCGCAAGGAUGACACGCAAAUUUAUGAAGCGUUCCAUAUUUUU
This is a small nuclear RNA of Otolemur garnettii (small-eared galago), 107 nucleotides long. Lineage: Eukaryota; Metazoa; Chordata; Mammalia; Primates; Galagidae. The record is from Ensembl.